GUUGCGCUUCAUGCCUGAUGGCAGGAUACGGAGCAGUUCGUUUGGUAUGCCGUCAGGGCCUGUCGCCUUGUUUCUGGAGAGGUGAGAAAUGCACUGCUCAAAAUUUGCCGUGUCUGCCAUGCUGGGGAGCAUGGAGUGUGUGUCAGGGUGCCGGUUGCGGUCCAGUGUGAAUUGAUCUGUUGCGUCGGCUUUCUCAAAGGGGUAGCCGCGUGUGGUGUUGCUGGGUAGUCGGAAGUCCCCAGUGCGGGUGCCGCGUGGUGGGGCGGACAGCUUUCGGAAGUGGGUUUCGAGUAUGGCGAGGAUGCUGGUGGAGUCAGUCGUCACCUCCCCAGUUUCUGGGUUCCGGACCGCUGGGAGACCCCGUUCCAUGUCUUCCUUCUGAAAGGUUCUCUUGUGCCCCUGUGCAGGGCGCGUGGCCAAGGUAUGUUGCAGCGCUGUGGCAGCGGCCUCUCGCUGGGCUUUGGCGCGGUCCGCCACUAGCUGGCGGUGCUCGGCCUGGCAGGCCUUUAUUUCGUUCCGCAGCUUUGCUGCUGCAUUGGCGGCGUCAAUCUCAGGUAGGGCCCGGGGCCCUUGCGUGAGGUUUGUCAGUUGUGUCUUCAGGGCCACUUCCUUGUCCCAUAGGGGCUUUAGCACCCGUGCGGUGGAGCGUGAUGCGUGGUGUUUGCCAGUGAAGGGGGCUUUCCGGGUGCACUCUUCAAGGAGGCAUGUUAGCCCGGUGUCCAGUGCGGAGGCAAGUUGUUCUGCAAGUUGGUUGAUAUCGGCCUUCUGGAUGCUCGUGUCCUGCGCCAGGUCUCGGUGCAUGACGCUGGCGGGGUAGCCUGUGGGGUCCAUGCUGUGCCUUGUGAGUGCAUGUUCAAUUGAUUGCGUUGCCUGCCUUGUUGCGGAAUGCAGGUCGGCUGUUGCUUCCACCAAGGCUUCCUCAAGGUGGAUAGCUGCGGCGGCCAGUUGCUUUUGUGUGACGGGCAGGGCGACCUCGGCCCAUCGUUGUUGGGUCUGCUGCUGGGGGGCUGGGUUCCGGGCGCUGGCCUGUGGUGCCGGCCAUAGCUGUAGGUCCGCGGCUAGUAACUCUGCGUGGACUGGUUUGUGGUCAAAGUUGCCUGCAACUGUACUGGUGUAUUCACGCGCUUCUGUGCAUGCAGCGCGCGUGGCAGGGCAUAGCAGGAUGUCAUCGAUGCGACUGUGGUAUGGGGCCAUGCCCGGGCGUGUUUGUUCGUAUGACCAUUCGGCGGUGGUAGUGGUGUCUCCGCGAAUAGGUCGCAGGCCACUGUCGGCAAGGAACCGCUGGUGGGCCCGGUCCGCCGUGUCGAUGGGGCUGUCCCGCUCAUGUGCUCGGGCGACGGCAUUAAAGUCUCCCGCGGUGACUAGGUGGUGUCCGCACGCUUCCGCCCGGCCCAUCACCUGCUGACAGUAUGUGUAGAUUGCCUUGCGGGUUUGCAUGUCCUCUGGUGCAUAGAUGCCCAGCACAGUGAGAGGCGUGCUCCCGGGGGUCUUGAUUUGAACGUGUGACACAUAGCCAUGGAGUGUUGGUGGGGGUGUGUGGUGUGUGACACAGCCGAGGUCACUGUACCGGGCGGAGAUGGCCACCGCUACGCCAGCGCUACCGCGCGCUGUGGCCACGCGGGGGGUAGUGCUACAGUAGAGCCGGUAUCCUUCAUUUCGGAAGGCUCGCUUGAUUGAGUCAGUCUUCCCUGUCAGUUUUGUCUCGGUUCGGACAACUAUGUCGGCUUUCCACUGGGCUAGGUUGCAGAGGGUGAAGCUGAGGUUGCCGGGAUGGCCGGUGGACAAAAUUUCUGAGAGCAGUCCCCGUACAUUGUGGGUCACAAUGUGUAGGGUGGUGUUGCUGCUGGGGGGUCGUGUGUUUGCGUGUGCCUGGUUGGGUUCCAUGUGGGCAUGGUUGCGUGCAGUGGGCCGUACUAGCCAGUUAAGGAUAGUUUGUCGGGUGCCUGUCGUGUUGAGUCGGGGUGCUAUGCCAGCAUUUGCAUUGUGUGGCUGCGCGGGUGCGGUAGUGUGGGGUGCUGCAUGCUGUGGCGCCCUGUGUGCUGCCCGCAGCGGUGAGUUGUCUUGGGCAUGUUGAGCUGGCUCUGGUGCCGGCCUUCCUGUGGCGGCGGGCCCUGUCUGCACGGGUCUGGUGGCCUCCAUGUGGGGUGGCGGGCGUGGUGGCGGGACGAUCUCACGGAGUUGCCCAAGUGCGUCCUGUAGUGUUGCCGUGUCAGAUGCACGCACCGCGUCAAGGCACCAGGCCUCCCCAUCAAGUGUGUCCCAAGUGUUGUCGUGUAAGACCGUGUUGUGGAUAGGGCUGUUCACCGAGUCUAUUACUCUCCAUUGUCCUGCGUCGUAGCGCACAGCAAUUGUGUGUCGCACAGUGUACUGGUGGACGGUAAAGCCGCGAGUUCGGGCGGCUACCGGAAGGUUCUCUAGGACCUUUUCUUUGCUGAUGUCGCCAUCGAGUCGCGGAAAGUGGGUUCGGCGCAUAAUCAGCUUCCUGUUGGGGUAGGCGAAUAUGUUGCUGAUGGUGGCAUUGUGGUACAGGUAGUGGUUCAGGAGAAGUUCGCUGAAGGCGCCACUGUUGGGGCAGUAGCAUUCUUUCCAGAACAGGGCAUUCGGGUCUUGCGUGGCUGUGAGGUGAGCGUGCACUCGUUUAGCGUAGGAGAGGACAUCUAGAGGGUCGAGCCAUGCGAGCCCCAAAGAGUUGUUGACGGCUUGGACACUGCAGAAGUGUUGCCGCUGUGUUUCACGGUAUGUUGCAUUGGACCGGGGCGGCCAGUGCAGCGCGGCUGGUGGUUGGGUGUUCACUGCCGCAUGAAUGCGAGGGUCGGCGGGCGCCGGCGGGGCUGUCGGGCCUGUGGGCAGCGCACCUCGCAGUGUUGGCUUGACGUAGGGCACCGUGUGUGUCCGGUUUACUGCAUAUGUAAGCGUGAGGAGAGUGGUUGCCUGGCUAGCAGUAAGUAGGCCGGUGGCCAGUGCUGGCCCCCAGAGUGUCAGCUGUGCCGGUUGCACACUGCAAGGGUCCGGCAGUGUGAGGUACAGGUUUCGCAGGAUGAUGGCCAUGGCAGUUCCCCAGAGUAGGAGCN
This 3071-nucleotide long non-coding RNA is filed under the name Chlamydomonas reinhardtii. RNAcentral's name for it is "long non-coding RNA (CREI_LNC000708)". The record is from RNAcentral. Lineage: Eukaryota; Viridiplantae; Chlorophyta; Chlorophyceae; Chlamydomonadales; Chlamydomonadaceae.